UAGACUCUUAUACUUAUAAUAAAGACAAAGUUAUAAGAUCUAGAAUCUGUAUCUAGAUCUAUUCCCAUUUGUGAUUUAUACACUACAGAUUUAAUGUUUCUGAUGAGCAAUACUACUAUCUACAGCCAUGCCCAUUAACAUAGGCCCUACUCAUGUACUAGAUCUAGCUCUUUUGAUCACAACUCAUAUCUUGCCUAGAUAUAAACAACUGUACUAGAUUGGACUAGACAUUCUAAUCGGUUCUAUUUUCGUUUUUCAUUAUUCUCACAUAUUCUAGUAGGCAAUAGGUACCAAAUUGUGCUAUUUAUUCACUGUAGAUCUAGAUCUUAACUUUUCUCUUAACUACCAAAGAAGUACACAAAGGAUGUUGAAAGGUACCCAAAGGGCUCUAAUUGCUACCAUUCAAUGUGUGGAUUCAAGUAUUUACCCAGAUACUGCCACAAUAUGCUCUUAUUGUUUUCAAAGGAGUUUUCAAACAGUGCCAGAAGCUGUAUAAAUACAUUUAACAAUGUAUAUUUCAAGAAGAAAUGAUGCUUUCUUAUUUCUAAGAGUUUAUCAAUAGGAUGAAUGCCACAAAACUCACUUGUUAUGCCAGAAACUCUUCCUACGAAACUUCCAUACUAGAAUUUGUCCAGUGCCUGUGAUCUUCUGAGUUGAAGGAGAAUGUGCUCCAUAAUACCUACUAGGAGCUUGCUGAUAGCUGGAAGUUCAUGAAUACUAUGUUGUCCUUGAUUUGAUGAUUCUGAAAACUACCAUUUCUGAAGACUUGAGCAUUAUUUCUAUAAUUUAAAAAAAUCUUUUCAAGAAAUAUUGUGUUUAUAAUAUUAAGAAAGUGAAGAUAAUAUUGUUCUUACUAAUAUUAUUGACUUAUUAAAAUAGAAAGCACAUCAUUACCAAUAUUCACUUGUCAGUAAAUGUUAGCAUUAUUCAAUUUUUAGUUACAUGUUCAAACUAAUAAAUUUUAUUAUUUAACUCAAUGAGUGCGGAGCGUCUAUCCCAUAGACGGUCUGUCUGCCCUAAACGCACGGAACGUCUAUCCCAUAGACGUUCUUACCCUACCUUUGUUUCGUUGCAUUUUUAAAUUAAAAAUUUUAACUAACAACAGUGGAACUAUUUUUAAUUUAUAAAAAAGUUCUUCAUCCUUUGUUUACAUAGAAAUUAGAAGCUUUUGGCUUUAUUUAGACAUUUAUUUAUUACUUUUUUUACAAUGUAAAAAAACGUCGCCAUGACUACGCUAGUUCAAGACACACCCACAAUGUUGACUACUGAAGAAACUUUAUAAUUAUUCUAAAAAUUAUCACAAAUAAAUAGUAAUAAUGAAGAAUUUGAUCUAGAUUAGAUUCAGGUAGGUCUAAAUUUAGCGUAUUUAUAUGAUUAUAUCUAUAUUAUUAGUAUUUAGAUCUAAAUCUAUUAUUGUCAGUAGGCUAGGUGUAGUCUGUAGAUCGAGAUUGACUAGAUCUAAGCUUUUAUCUCUAGACUUGGACUCUAGAUCUAGAUAUAUCUUUAGAUCUAAGCUUCUGGUAAAUAAAAAGAAAGGAAAUGGUAGAUCUACAUCAAAUAAUCAUCCACUGUACUGUGGGGUGGGCAUUUUUUCCCCAUUUUCUUUUUUUUUUUUUAGUAUUGUUUAUCUGUAAAAAUCUACAACAUCAUGGCUAUGCUUGUCCAAGACACACCCACAAUGUUUACUACUGAAGAAGCUUUAUUAUUGUUUUAUUUAUACUUCUUUGAAUUGUAAUAAUGAAGAUCUUGAUCAAGAUUUAGCAUAGGAUGAAGCAGACUUGGACAUUAUUAGCAUUUAGAUUUAGAUCUAGAUCUAGUAUUGCCUUAUAUGCUUAGGCUUAGGCCUUAGCCUUAGACUAGGGCUAGGUCUUGAAUGUAGAUCAAGGUUGACUAGAUCUAUGCUUUUAUCUUUACACCUUUGUAGAUUCCUAUAGAUCUAACCCUUAGAUAAAUGAAAACAACAGAAAUGGCAGAUCUAAAUCCAAUAUUCAUCCACCAUGCUGGGCCUUUUCUUGGUAUAUUUUCUAGCAAUUUUUUUUGGUAAAAAUCAUCACCAUCACUAUACUGGUUCAAGUUGCGCUCCAAAAGGUUUACUACUAAAUAAAAGUAAAAUAUAAAACUAUUCUAAAUCCAUAAUUUAUCACAAAGGAACAGUAAUAAUGAUCUAUUCGAUGUCUAAAUCUUAGGUAAAAUGAAUUAGGAUUUUUAUUGUCCUUCAUCUAGUUAGAGAUUUAGGCUUUGAUCUCUCGCUAGCCUAUGUCUUGCACUGGUCUAGUAUUAGAAUGAAAGAUGUUCUAUGCAAAUAAAAAGAAGACAAAUCUAGAUCUAUAUCCCAUUGAUUCAAAUGUACAUAAUAUUUGAGUGCAUUUGGUUGAUAGAUUUAGUGCUGGUAUCUAUUGUUAUUGGUAGUAAUGAAAAGCGCAAUAAUUUUCACUUUUUUUUCUGACUAAAAAACCAGGUAAAAAUAAUAAUAUAAUCAAUGAUUCAUCAUCUUUUAUUGACUAUUUUAUCACAUUUCUUUUUGAAAAUAUCACAAAGGAACAGUAAUAAUGAUCUAUUUGAUGUCUAAAUCUUAGGUAAAAUGAAUUAGGAUUUUUAUUGUCCUUCAUCUAGUUAGAGAUUUAGGCUUUGAUCUCUCGCUAGCCUAUGUCUUGCACUGGUCUAGUAUUAGAAUGAAAGAUGUUCUAUGCAAAUAAAAAGAAGACAAAUCUAGAUCUAUAUCCCAUUGAUUCAAAUGUACAUAAUAUUUGAGUGCAUUUGGUUGAUAGAUUUAGUACUGGUAUCUAUUGUUAUUGGUAGUAAUGAAAAGCGCAAUAAUUUUCACUUUUUUUCUGACUAAAAAACAAGGUAAAAAUAAUAAUAUAAUCAAUGAUUCAUCAUCUUUUAUUGACUGUUUUAUCACAUUUCUUUUUGAAAAUGCUGUAAAUAGUCUAAAUAUGCUGUUUCAACAGUAAUACAAAGAACAAAAUCUAAAUUUAGGUCUCAAAAGUUCUAAAGUUGGCAUCCAUUUUUUUUUCUGAGUGUCAUAUUAUUUAGAUUAUAAUUUGUAUCUUAUAUUUAAAUAGAAAGAUGUUUACAUUUUCACAUUCUCCAUUCAUUUACCUUUACUUUGAUACCAAAUUUGUUACUAUAGCAUCAUUGGUACUUAAACAAUAAAUUUUUGUUUUAGCCAUG
Biomphalaria glabrata is the source of this 3174-nucleotide long non-coding RNA. RefSeq lists it as uncharacterized. The record is from RefSeq and is a predicted model, not a curated record. The transcript is spliced from 3 exons. Lineage: Eukaryota; Metazoa; Mollusca; Gastropoda; Planorbidae.